RNAcentral lists this ribosomal RNA (253 nucleotides) under uncultured bacterium. Its description in RNAcentral is "partial 16S ribosomal RNA". It matches the Rfam family "Bacterial small subunit ribosomal RNA", at positions 524 to 776 of the family's 1533-position model. The record is from RNAcentral.
UACGAAGGGGGCUAGCGUUGCUCGGACUCACUGGGCGUAAAGCGCACGUAGGCGGCUUUUUAAGUCAGGGGUGAAAUCCUGGAGCUCAACUCCAGAACUGCCUUUGAUACUGAGAAGCUUGAGUCCGGGAGAGGUGAGUGGAACUGCGAGUGUAGAGGUGAAAUUCGUAGAUAUUCGCAAGAACACCAGUGGCGAAGGCGGCUCACUGGCCCGGUACUGACGCUGAGGUGCGAAAGCGUGGGGAGCAAACAGG